UGGGGAAUCUUCCGCAAUGGACGAAAGUCUGACGGAGCAACGCCGCGUGAGUGAAGACGGCCUUCGGGUUGUAAAGCUCUGUGAUCCGGGAUGAAAGAGCCUUGGGUAAAUAGCCUAAGGAAGUGACGGUACCGGAAAAGCAAGCCACGGCUAACUACGUGCCAGCAGCCGCGGUAAUACGUAGGUGGCAAGCGUUGUCCGGAAUUAUUGGGCGUAAAGCGCGCGCAGGCGGCUUCCUAAGUCCAUCUUAAAAGUGCGGGGCUUAACCCCGUGAUGGGAUGGAAACUGCGAAGCUGAAGUAUCGGAGAGGAAAGUGGAAUUCCUAGUGUAGCGGUGAAAUGCGUAGAGAUUAGGAAGAACACCGAUGACGAAGGCGACUUUCUGGACGAAAACUGACGCUGAGCAACGAUAGAGUGGGGAGCAAACAGG
Molecule: ribosomal RNA, 429 nt
Filed under: Verrucomicrobiota bacterium
Lineage: Bacteria; Pseudomonadati; Verrucomicrobiota
Description: Verrucomicrobia bacterium partial 16S ribosomal RNA
Rfam family: Bacterial small subunit ribosomal RNA
Source: RNAcentral